Long non-coding RNA from Centrocercus urophasianus (Greater sage-grouse), 2132 nucleotides. RefSeq lists it as uncharacterized. The record is from RefSeq and is a predicted model, not a curated record. Lineage: Eukaryota; Metazoa; Chordata; Aves; Galliformes; Phasianidae. The transcript is spliced from 3 exons.
AGUGUGUUUCUUUCCUAUUAUUAGAGAUUGGCACAUGCACUACUUUUGUUUAGAUUUUUUUUAAUUAAUGUGUUUUUCUUUUUUUAAAGCAAACGAAGAAACACCCUUGUCGACAAUGUGACAAAUCUUUCAGUUCAUCCCAUAGUUUAUGUCGUCACAAUCGUAUCAAGCACAAAGGCAUUAGGAAGGUUUAUACAUGCUCGCACUGCCCAGAUUCAAGACGUACUUUUACCAAGCGAUUGAUGUUGGAAAAACAUAUUCAAUUGAUGCAUGGCAUUAAAGACCCUGAUGUAAAAGAAAUGACUGAAUUAACUAGUAUGGAGGAAAGGGAAGUAAAAGAAGAUACAAAGGUUCCUAGUCCAAAGCGUAAACUGGAAGAACCUAUACUGGAAUUCAGGCCUCCACGAGGCGCAAUCACACAACCACUGAAGAAGCUAAAAAUAAAUGUUUUUAAGGUUCAUAAGUGCGCUGUCUGUGGCUUUACAACAGAAAAUCUUCUCCAGUUUCACGAACAUAUUCCUCAGCAUAAAUCUGAUGGCUCUUCAUACCAGUGCAGGGAGUGUGGACUCUGCUACACGUCUCAUGUGUCUCUCUCCAGGCAUCUCUUCAUUGUACACAAGCUGAAGGAGCCACAGCCAGUAUCAAAGCAGAAUGGAUCCAGGGAGGAUAAUCAGCAAGAGAAUAAACCCAACCAUGAGGAUGAAUUGUCUGACAACACAGUGUUGGAGAGAAGAUGCAAAGUGUGCUCAAAGACUUUUGAAACUGAAGCGGCCUUAAAUACUCACAUGAGAACACAUGGCAUGGCCUUCAUUAAGUCAAAAAGAAUGAGCUCAGCUGAAAAGUAAUCAGUUCAUUGGCAUAUAGAAAUCUCUCUCCACAUUGGAAUAAUAAUGACAUUUUUGUUACAGAAAGUUCAAGGUAUAAUAGUGUUAACAGUACUGUUCAGGCUGUUGCAAUAUAUUCUGCAUAAUAACGUCCCCCUUCGCCUCAUUGUCUGUACCCUCAAAACCACUGAAGCAGUAUUUGAGUUGAAAAGAGUUUGUAUAUAUUUAAGCUAAUAACUUUUAUACUCUUUGUUAUGUGCUUUUAUUGGUAUCUAGUGGAAAAAAAAGUUUUUUUAUUUUGUUUCUGUUUUUUGUAGUAUGUUUCUCUAAAACAGAGUUCUUAAUGCUGGGACAGUUUCUUAGGUUCUCUUAAACUGUUUCUUAUAUGAAUGUUUCUGAAAGAAAGUUUAGCAGAAGGCAGUGCUUGGAGGGGAAAAAGGAAGAAAGUAAGCCAAGGGGAAAUGUUGAAUUUCACAGGACUCGUGCUUCUAAAUGUGUUAGGAAGCUGCACAUGUAAAGUGCAGUGCUGAUUUAGAUGUCAACACCAAAACAGAUGCAGAUCCCCCAGAGUAAUAAAGUACUUUUGAAAAAUGUAAUUGCACAAAUAUAUAUACGUAUAUAUAAUGAAGUAAUUUUUAGCCAACAGGUGCUUACAGUCAAAGCUCAAAUAGUUGUAAAAGGGCUGGGCUGCUCUAGAUUAAACAAGUAAGAUGUAAUUACAGAAAUAGGCAUAUACUUAUGAUUUUUUUGUCAUGUAAUUUAUUAAACGUAUAGAAGCGAUUACACAGCAUUAUGUAUUUUCCUAUACUUCUGGUUAUCAAAAGAAAAUAGUUAACACUUGCUGCCGAGGUUGGUGUUUCCCAUCUCUGUAAGCUAUUGCCAAAUGUUCUGGUGCUCAGCGUUACAUUCAACCACAGCCAUCAAGAAGCAAACACACCACACACCAGCCUACGUGAGUAGGGGCUUCACCAUUAGCACAGACCUUACAGAGCUAAUUCAGCCAUUUCAGAGUAUAUCUAACAUCACUAGUUAUGCUUUCACCAAGGACAGAAAGGUACCAUACUGUCCCUUUCGUAUAUGGUUCUCUGUAAGAGUUAUAUUUUUGUUUUGGUUUUGCAUUUUAUACCUUGUAUGUAUCCCUACAAAACUGUUUUGUACUUUUUUUUAAAAAAACAAAUAGUUUAUAUAUAGAUAGCUGCAUGAUAUACAGUAGUAAUUGUUCAUUUCCUUAAAGUUUUCCUGCUGUCAGAUGUUACUAUACACUAUGCCCAUUACGACUGUAUUAAACACAUUUCAUAUGUAAAUAAA